RNAcentral lists this ribosomal RNA (245 nucleotides) under uncultured Gardnerella sp. RNAcentral describes it as "partial 16S ribosomal RNA". It matches the Rfam family "Bacterial small subunit ribosomal RNA", at positions 111 to 356 of the family's 1533-position model. The record is from RNAcentral. Lineage: Bacteria; Bacillati; Actinomycetota; Actinomycetes; Bifidobacteriales; Bifidobacteriaceae.
UAAUGCGUGACCAACCUCGCCCCAUGCUCCAGAAUAGCUCUUGGAAACGGGUGGUAAUGCUGGAUGCUCCAACUUGACGCAUGUCUUGUUGGAAAGUGUUUAGUGGCAUGGGAUGGGGUCGCGUCCUAUCAGCUUGUAGGCGGGGUAAUNGGCCCACCUAGGCUUCGACGGGUAGCCGGCCUGAGAGGGCGGACGGCCACAUUGGGACUGAGAUACGGCCCAGACUCCUACGGGAGGCAGCAGUG